GUGGCGAACGGUCGCGUAACACGUAAGCAACCUGCCCUGAAGUGGGGGACAACAUCCCGAAAGGGGUGCUAAUACCGCAUGUGGUCACGAGUCGGCAUCGACUUGUGUCUAAAGAUUUAUCGCUUCAGGAUGGGCUUGCGGCCUAUCAGGUAGUUGGUGGGGUAAUGGCCUACCAAGCCGACGACGGGUAGCUGGUCUGAGAGGACGAUCAGCCGGAUUGGGACUGAGAUACGGCCCAGACUCCUACGGGGGGCAGCAAUUAGGAAUCUUGCGCAAUGGGGGAAACCCUGACGCAGCGACGUCGCGUGAAGGAUGAAGGCCCUCGGGUCGUAAACUUCUUUUGAGUGGGAAGAAAUUUGACGGUACCACUCGAAUAAGCCCCGGCUAACUACGUGCCAGCAGCCGCGGUAAUACGUAGGGGGCGAGCGUUGUCCGAAGUUACUGGGCGUAAAGCGCGCGUAGGCGGUUAUUUAAGUCUGGGGUGAAAGGUUCAGCGCUCAACGUGAACAGUGCCUUGGAUACUGGAUGACUUGAGUCUGGGAGGGGGAAGGGGAAUUCCUGGUGUAGCGGUGAAAUGCGUAGAUAUCAGGAGGAACACCGGUGGCGAAGGCGCCUUCCUGGCCUAAGACUGACGCUGAGGUGCGAAAGCGUGAGGAGCAAACGGGAUUAGAUACCCCGGUAGUCCACGCCGUAAACGAUG
Molecule: ribosomal RNA, 700 nt
Filed under: uncultured Armatimonadota bacterium
Lineage: Bacteria; Bacillati; Armatimonadota
Description: bacterial SSU rRNA
Rfam family: Bacterial small subunit ribosomal RNA
Source: RNAcentral